This is a long non-coding RNA of Cyprinodon variegatus (sheepshead minnow), 368 nucleotides long. RefSeq lists it as uncharacterized. The transcript is spliced from 3 exons. The record is from RefSeq and is a predicted model, not a curated record. NCBI's taxonomy places the organism in Eukaryota, Metazoa, Chordata, Actinopteri, Cyprinodontiformes, Cyprinodontidae.
GACGGACAGAUGUUAACUCUGUGACAAACUGGAAUGUUCCUUUGGUCUGGGAGGGGACUUUUGAUCCUUUGGUUAUAGAUGACAUCUAUAAGAAAAUGGACCCAAGGGUAGCUGUUGUGGUUUUUGCUGUUGGCAAAUACACUCGAUUUUUGAAGAAAUUCAUUGAGACUGGAGAAAAGUACUUUCUUGUUGGCUUCAAAGUCACUUACUACAUCCAUACAGACAGAGCAAAUGAAGUCCCUAAGGUUGAGUUGGGAAAAGGCAGGAACAUUACAAUUGUAACUGUACCAAGUGCCACCCGCUGGCAAGAUGUUGUUCUUGGCAGGAUGAAAUGGGCUACCCUCACAAUUGAAAAGACGGUAAAAAAA